Molecule: ribosomal RNA, 408 nt
Filed under: uncultured bacterium
Lineage: Bacteria
Description: partial 16S ribosomal RNA
Rfam family: Bacterial small subunit ribosomal RNA
Source: RNAcentral
GACGAACGCUGGCGGCGUGCUUAACACAUGCAAGUCGAACGAAGUGGCGCACGGGUGAGUAACGCGUAAUCAACCUGCCCUUCAGUGGGGGACAACAGUUGGAAACGACUGCUAAUACCGCAUACUGACGGUGGGGAUUGCGUCGGAUUAGCGGGUUGGCGGGGUAACGGCCCACCAAGGCGAUGAUCAGUAGCCGGGCUGAGCGGAUGGACGGCCACAUUGGGACGGAGACACGGCCCGAACCGCUACGGGAGGCAGCAGUGGGGAAUCUUCCGCAAUGGACGAAAGUCUGACGGAGCAACGCGGCGUGAGUGAUGACGGCCUUCGGGUUGUAAAGCUCUGUUAAUCGGGACGCGGUACCGGAAUAGAAAGCCACGGCUAACUACGUGCCAGCAGCCGCGGUAAUAC